RNAcentral lists this unclassified non-coding RNA (391 nucleotides) under soil metagenome. RNAcentral describes it as "partial contains 5.8S ribosomal RNA, internal transcribed spacer 2, and large subunit ribosomal RNA". The stretch from base 1 to 122 matches the Rfam family "5.8S ribosomal RNA", at positions 35 to 154 of the family's 154-position model. The record is from RNAcentral.
GAUGAAGAACGUAGCGAAAUGCGAUACUUGGUGUGAAUUGCAGAAUCCCGUGAACCAUCGAGUCUUUGAACGCAAGUUGCGCCCGAAGCCACUAGGCCGAGGGCACGCCUGCCUGGGCGUCACACGCCGUUGCCCCCCCAUCUACUCCUUCGGGAUUGCGGGGGGGCGGAUGAUGGCCUCCUGUGCGCCUAGCCGCGCGGUUGGCAUAAAUACCAAGUCCUCGGCGACGCACGCCACGACAAUCGGUGGUUGCGAAACCUCGGUUGCCCGUCGUGUGCGUUCGUCGCGCAUCGAGGGCUCGAAAAAAUGCUCGGCUCCGGCUGGGCUUUCAACGCGACCCCAGGUCAGGCGGGGUUACCCGCUGAGUUUAAGCAUAUCAAUAAGCGGAGGA